Molecule: long non-coding RNA, 1135 nt
Organism: Ostrinia furnacalis (Asian corn borer)
Lineage: Eukaryota; Metazoa; Arthropoda; Insecta; Lepidoptera; Crambidae
Exons: 2
Source: RefSeq, a predicted model, not a curated record
AGUCAAAAGUAGUUGCUCGGCAGAACAUCCCGCCGGGAACAUUAGUUGCACUAGAGGCAGCUUACGUUGGAAUUUUACGAGACCUAAAUAAAAACAGAUCAUGUUACUAUUGUCAUCAUAUUUCAUUAAAUCUAAUUCCGUGUCACAGUUGUACAGGAAUAUUAUUCUGCAGCCCAGAAUGCAGGAAGCUUUGCUGGGAAGAGUUUCACAAUGUCCAAUGUCAUAUAAUUUCACUAUUCGAGGAUGAUAUACUAACUGGAUCAUCACUACCCACCGUGGCAGCUUUAAAAUUUAAAAAUUCAUGUUCCUGGGACGAAUUUAUAGCAAUUUCUCAUAAUUUGGGUUUGAAAAAGAUGGAAAACAGUAUGAUAAACGAAGUUUAUGAUUUAAACAGCAAGGCGUCGAUUUUGAAAUUCAACAAUGAAAAUAAUAUGUUCGUUUUUGGAGAUACUUUCAAUGCACUUAAUGUCAUUGCCGUUAUAAUAUUCCAUUUAGAAGAAGUACUACCAUCAUUCUUUCCUCGUGAGAAAGACGAAGCUAUCCGUGCAAUGGGCAGAGUAUUACUGCACAUACAUAAAUCUACCAGACACGCAAUACUUAUUGCGAAUACGGCUAAAGCAGCAAUGGAUGAGAAGAGUACUCUUCUGGGAAAUAUUGGCUUAUUUUCGUUUACGAGUAAAUUGAAACACUCUUGUGAUCCAAAUCUUCACGUAUCAGGACUAAACAAUAAAGCUGCACUUAUAUCAUUGAGACCAAUAAAAAGGGGAGAAGAGUUAACAAUAUCAUACAUCGGCCACUGGUAUGAUCACAUAAUAACAAACCGAUCCUUGCACAUGUGGAUGAAUAAUAAAAAAAUCUGCCGAUGCAAAGUCUGUGUUAAUAACUGGGAUCACCGAAUGGUCGGCCUACCUAAAGCCAAAAUGACCGCUCAACAAAAAUCAUCGUUCGACAAGUGGAUGUAUUUGUUUACCGCUUCUCAUAUAAGCCCGGUGAACUUCGUUACCAUGUAUAAAGAAACUUUUCGCUGUAUCGGGGAAUUACACGACCUACCGAACACCCAAGAACAUAGACAAAUCUAUAACGAAAUGAGAGGUUUGAUUGAAUCUUUAAAGUACGAAGCUACGAAAAACUGCAC